Long non-coding RNA from Cucumis melo (muskmelon), 811 nucleotides. RefSeq lists it as uncharacterized. Lineage: Eukaryota; Viridiplantae; Streptophyta; Magnoliopsida; Cucurbitales; Cucurbitaceae. The record is from RefSeq and is a predicted model, not a curated record. The transcript has 4 exons.
ACGCCGCACCGCUGAGAUCCGACGCAGCGCAGCCGGAUCGUUCGUCAGCCAGCCGCCGCGCCGACGGGAAUCCAGCAGCUAAGCCUCGCGCGCCGCCAGCCGUCGAACCCGAACCCGGAGCCGCUCCGCAUCCGCGCGCCCUAACCCGAAGCCGAUUUCGCGUGUGAAGCCGCGCCGCGCGCUUCUGCGUAGCCGAGCCGCGUCUCCCCCUGUUGCAAGCCGAGCCGCACGCGUGAACCCCUGUGUCAAAGCCGAGCCGCGCCUGCGCCAAGCCGAGCCGGUCCCUGUCCUCUUCCAGCCGAGCCGCCAAGACCAAUUUGGCUCCAUCCACCUACAUUUUGGGCGUCUUGGACCGAGUGACCGGUGCGGCGAGAGACUCUCUUCAGUAGGGACUCAUCCACUGCAACCUUUUCUGGGGAUCCCGUUGCUUGGAAAGCACACGUGUCUUGCGGUUAGGACUCGUCGGGUGAAUCUCCAGGGAGAAUGCCGCCACGUAGAGGUGCACGCCGAGGAGGUGGUAGGGGAGGCAGAGGUGCCGGUCGUGGCCAGCCGGAGGCGCCACCUGCUGCACCGGCAGUCGACCCAAAUGCACCGGUCACCCAGGCGGAUCUCGCCGCGAUGGAGCGGCGCUAUCAGGACAUGCUGCAAGCUGCUUUGGCGCCUUUCCUAGCCGCCCAGCAGAACCAGGCCGCCCAGCAGAACCAGGCCGCCCAGCAGAACCAGGCCGCCCCUGCUCAGGCCCAAGCCGUUGUUCCUCCAGCCCCUGAGGAAGCUCCACCAGUACCAGUUCAACUGUCGGCCGAGGCGAAAC